This is a non-coding RNA of Zootermopsis nevadensis, 2006 nucleotides long. NCBI's taxonomy places the organism in Eukaryota, Metazoa, Arthropoda, Insecta, Blattodea, Termopsidae. The record is from RefSeq and is a predicted model, not a curated record.
UGAAAUAUUAUCAUUUAAAAUUGCAAAUCAACAUAAAAGAUGCAAGCUUUGGUAUUAGAAGAUUUGAAUCUUGAGUUUUAUUGUAGUAAAAUAUUUCUGUGGUUCAUUUAGUUAUAUACUUGACAUUCAUAUUUAACCCCUUCACUGUAAGUGAAAAUAUAUGUGGCAGCAGGAUGUUUGUUAUCCAAUAAUAAUCACCCUCUUUAAGCAUUUACACUAUUUAAUUCACAUCUGAAUACAACAUUACUACAACCUGUAACACUAUGACUGCCCUCUGUUAUUACCAGCCAGUGUGUUGACUGAUACCUAAGAAAGAUUGGUGUUACAGCAUAUUGUACACUUCAUAAGCUGUUCCAUUCAUAACAUACAAAAUGAUUUGCUUGCAAAAAUGUUAUGUACAUAACAGUGAAAGGGUUAAAUAUUUAUUAAGUAUAAGUAAUAACAAUAUGGAUUGUGUAUUGAUAGCAAGCUGUAGAAGUAAUUGUUCAACCGACAGUGACCUCACAUGUUUGACUACACUAACAAAAGUGUGUGAACUGUGUAGCUCUAAGUUUUCUGUGUAAUAUUCUCCAUUCCCUAGUUACGCUAGCUUUAGUCCAUAUAUUUUCAUGCACUUGAAAGUAAUGUUUCAGUGAUCACAAAAGUUAUGCAGUUUCAAAUGAGAGGUUUACUAACAUUUCUGAACACAUCUCAGUUUUGGUUAACAUUGGACAACGCUAAGAGAUACUUUACAUGAAGACCUACAUGCACUCCUGUACGCAGAAGUGACUGAGUGGGGGAAAUCAACAGGGUACCAUGAGUACCUGGGAAAUGGCCACCCACCUGUGCAAAGGUCACUGACCAAGACUGAUGUCACUGGUGUCCUUAAAGCUUUACUGUCCACUCUAUGACUUACAUCAACUGAUCUAUCUCCAGCAUAAUAGCAGAUGUCAUCAACCAGAGUAAGCAGGUUUGCCAGAGCUGGGGGAACAUUUGGAGGAAGUGACAUAAUCACAAGAGCUUGUGGCCACAUGCCGAUGUAUGGAAUAAUCAUACGAAGACGUUUCUCUACUGCACCUUGAAUGAAUAGUGCUGGUUCUUUACAUCUGUAAACAGUAAUAAUUGCCCAGGAAAAAAUAGUAUUACAGUAAAACAUCACUAAUUCAGACUAAAAGGGCUAGUCUGAAUUAGUGAAAAGCACAAAAAAUAAAGCAUAAUUAUAUGUAUUUUCAAGUUGUACUUCAUAAAAACAAAUUUUUUUCUCGAUCCAGGAACUUAGAUGGUAUAGGGACACAAAUGUGACAAAAAGGAAAAUAAAGUGGGAAAUGAUGUCAUUAAAUAAUCAUUUAGGAAAAUUCCAUUCUACAUAAACAUUAACAUUACUUCCAAUUCCUAGGAUUAUUAAAUGAAUUGUAAAGGAUGUGGAAGGAAGCAAUCAUGGCCUGUUUUAAGAUAUCCCAAGAUUUACCUGGAGAGAUUGAGGAAAACUACUCAGUCAAUGUAGCUGGUCUCUCAACUGAUGUCUGAACUCAACCUGACAGAUACUGAACAGAUGUUCAGUGGAAACGUGAAGAGGAAACAUAUGAUAUCAAUCAUAUACAAAAUUUUCUGUGAUCUAAAGUUAAAAUGUUAUACUAUACUGUACCUAGACCUGAGACUGGAUCUAACGAAGCCUUCACUCACAAUAUAGUAGCUGGGAAAGAUACCAGUUUGAAGAUACAUGCAGAUGUUGACAGACUGCUUACCUUCACAUUUAACAAAAUCCACCAAGAUUCUGUAUACAUUCCUUGAGUCCCCAUUUUAGCUAAAUGUCCAGCCUAUCACAACCUCCUUGUCUGUAGUAUGCUUCAUAGAUAGUUUUGUAGGAGAUAUAAACAUUUACAUUGUAAUAUCUUAAGAUCAGGAACUAGAAGUGAUAUUUUGCCUGCUAACCAUUGGCAAGUUAAUAUACUGGUGGCAAGUACAUUUGUGUUCUGUCUAUGUAUUAAAUUAUAUAUAUAAAUACAUUAAAAAUUCUACAAAAUGUU